GAGUUGUUACAAAAUUUGUCAAGUUUAAAAAUUUUGAACUGCAGUGAAAGCAUGAGUCAUAAAAUUUGUUAAUAUUUCUACUUGCCAUCUAAAAUAACAAGGGAGAAAUUCGGAGGCGGAAGCUUCUGUUGGCGGUUCAUUACGAUUUACGAGUCCUGGUCCUAUUAGGAUUAUUUUAUUAAUUUUUUAAUCUUUAAUCUAAUCCAAUGUCUCCACGCCGUGUCCGAAGGCUCCCGCGUCCACUCGCACAGCUCCUCUUCGAGCACCCACAUUGGCAUUCGCCUCGGCAACGCACUCUUGAGCAUGCUCCUCCUCAGGUUCGAAGGUGACCCUCCUUUAUCGCGUGGUCCGUGUUCGACGAAAUGGUCGAGAGAGACGUCUUCCCUUGGAACGUGAGGGUGGGCCGGUAUGAGAAAAAAUAGCUUUUUGGAUGAGGUCAUUGAUUUGGUGUAUAGUCUUUUUCAUGCGUGCUGAGGUCUUGUAACGGUAUCCCGGAUUUGAUGAAGAGGAGAAGGGUUCAUGCUCAUACGAUUAGAUUCGGUUUCUCGUCGGAAAUGGAUGUUUUAAAUGCUCUGAUCAUAAUGUCCGCGAAUCCAUGCUUGGAACGUGCUCGACGGAAUGCCGAAAAGGGAUUGCAUCAUAUGGAGUUAUCUGCAGUAAAUUGUCUGCAUGUCCAUGCACGGUCAGGUCCGCGCUAUGAGCUCGCACUAAUCGGACGUUUAAUGAAAUAAGCCUUCAAGCCGAUGAGUGGCGCAUAGAAGGGCUUCGCACCAGCCAAUGACCGGGAGCCAACAUCGGUGCGGUUUCCGGCGGUAGACCAUGCCUUCUGCCGCUUACGGCUGCCUCCUUGGCCUUCUCGGGUGCUUCAUAUGGGCUUCCAACAGCAAAAGCAAACAGUGUGAGUGGUAAUGUAUCCUUGCCAGUGAAUCCACUAGGAGGGGAGGAUUGCCUUCAACUCUCAUGUGAACGUUUUUGCUUCAAAUUGAUUCAGUUGGAUGACACUUGACUUGUUCAAAGACAAAAUUCACAUCAUGGAGAUGCCUAGGGGAUCCCUAACAUCACAUUAUGGACUAUCCUAGGAAGGAGGACGUAAUCUUCCCUUCUUGUUGUGGUUGCACACGUGUGCAAACCCAUAUACAAAUGCUAAUUAGGUGUCGCAUGUUGACAUGACAAGUGCACCAUAGGCAUGCCGUUGAGUCUUCACUAGAUCAUAUAUUACAAAAUAUUUCAUAUAAACAAUACAAGUUGCCAAUGGUUUAGGUUAUCAUUCACUUCAAUCCUCUCUAUCCCUACCUUUUCGAUAUGAUAUUAUCUCGCUGAUUUAAGCUUGAUAUAUGGAUAUUAAUCAGUUAAACUUGGUCAUCUGGUAGUUCUGUUUGCUGUACUUUAUUCAAAUUAAGGACAUGCUAGGGUCAAAAUAUUUAGUUGAGCCAUCUUUCUCACCACCACUAGUUGCAACUUUUCCUAGCUUCGAUGGGUAAGUGCUCUCGUGAUUUAGCAUGGUGGACUGCUUUUGAAGUGCAGCUUUCUUACAUCAUCCCCCAAUAGGUUGAUGAGAGGGAAGGAGUGCACGGAUGGGUCGCACUCAAGUUUGUAAGUCAAUUGGCACAGACCAUCUCUUAUAGUCUUCCUCCUGUGGGUAGUGGACCUUGUGGCCAUGGGAAUGGGAUCAAGCGAUGGGUUUAUUUCCACCACUCUUUUUCUUUUCUUUCUUUUUGCAAAUAUUUAUAUUCAUAGAUUAUUCACUCUUUUCAAGAAUUCUGUUUCAUAAAACCUAUACUCUUGCAAAUUUCUAAAUUUUGUUGUUCCUUUCCAUCCAAUAGUCUAGAAUAAUGCCAUUCCUACCACAUUUGGCAGGCAUCUCUAGCUUACUUUUUAACUUAAUUUGAUGCCAACCUUUACACAAGGUCCAAAGAAAUUCCGACCUAGCCUACUUCCUUCCAUCAAAUUUUCUUCUAGAGUGAAAAAGUACAUCUGCACUAGGGGAAAGUGCUUCAUUGCCUCCUGUUAUUGAUAAUAUAAAACUUACUGUGAUCUAAUCAUUAUUUUUUUUUCUACUACGUGACUGUGACUGACCAUGAGGUAUGAAUUGGAUGACAGUUACAAGCAUAUUCUGUCUGGCAAUUGUCACACUAUGUUUUGACAACAAUGGCUUAGGUUUCUUUGACAAUGUUCAUAGCUUAUUUGGAAAUUGUGUUUUUGCCACUUUUCUGGAUUGGAACAAAAGAGAGGACUAAGGAAGGCAAGGGCAAGAGGUGACAAAGAACCACUUGCUUCACAUGCUUAAGGGUCCCAAGACAACGCAGCUUUUACAGAGCUUGUAGCGCUUUUGAUUGCCAAGCCAGAUGAUUGUCCCUACUAACACCAGCUGAUGCUUUUAGUUGUUUGAUGAGACGAUAGAUCGAAUUCAUUCAAGAAAGUGGGAAGACAACGAGAGCUCUGGAUCGACCGUUGCAAGGAAAUCACUGGAACAUUGCAGUGGAGUAAAACAAAAUGGAGUAAGAAUGGCGUCUUUGAUAUCUUGUUCACAACUCAUGACGGUUAAUGUGAUAGCUAGAGGUGAGUGGCAAAACAAAAUAUACUGAGCUGACAUGAUGGUUGCAAUCAGACUUAUUCAUAAUGGUUCUGGCUUAUCCAACACCCAUGACUGGGUUUGUAGAGCUAAAAUCAUGCUUAGAGUCCAAUAAAGUGUAGUUUGAGAUGAAAUUAUGGACGAAUUUAGGACUGGACAAGGUUCUGUUUGGAGAAGAUGACAAGAAAAUUAGUCCCUGUACUAAAUCGGAUACCCUAAUACUUUCUAUUGUACAUUCUGGUUUUCUGCA
This is a long non-coding RNA of Phoenix dactylifera (date palm), 2822 nucleotides long. RefSeq lists it as uncharacterized. NCBI's taxonomy places the organism in Eukaryota, Viridiplantae, Streptophyta, Magnoliopsida, Arecales, Arecaceae. The record is from RefSeq and is a predicted model, not a curated record.